UUGCAGUUAAAAAGCUCGUAGUUGGAUUUCGGAACCGGCCGAUUGGUCCGUCCUCUGGAUCGUGUACUGAUCGGUCUGUUCUUCUUCGCGAAGACCGCGUGUGCUCUUAACUGAGUGGGCGUGGGAUUCGCGACGUUUACUUUGAAAAAAUUAGAGUGUUCAAAGCAGGCAGUCGCUUGAAUAUCUCAGCAUGGAAUAAUAGAAUAGGACUUUGGUCUUAUUUUGUUGGUUUCCGAGACCGAAGUAAUGAUUAAUAGGGACAGUUGGGGGCAUUCGUAUUUCAUUGUCAGAGGUGAAAUUCUUGGAUUUAUGAAAGACGAACUUCUGCGAAAGCAUUUGCCAAGGAUGUUUUCAUUAAUCAAGAACGAAAGUUGGAGGCUCGAAGACGAUCAGAUACCGUCCUAGUUCCAACCAUAAACGAUGCCGUCUGCGGAUCGGAGGUCGCUCAUGUAAGGCUCCUUCGGCACGCUAUGAGAAAUCAAAGACUUCGGGUUCCGGGGGGAGUAUGUUCGCAAGAAUGAAACUUAAAGGAAUUGACGGAAGGGCACCACCAGGAGUGGAACCUGCGGUUUAAUUUGACUCAACA
RNAcentral lists this ribosomal RNA (586 nucleotides) under uncultured marine eukaryote. Its description in RNAcentral is "SSU rRNA". It matches the Rfam family "Eukaryotic small subunit ribosomal RNA", at positions 613 to 1205 of the family's 1831-position model. The record is from RNAcentral.